This 804-nucleotide ribosomal RNA is filed under the name uncultured Bacillota bacterium. Its description in RNAcentral is "bacterial SSU rRNA". It matches the Rfam family "Bacterial small subunit ribosomal RNA", at positions 8 to 774 of the family's 1533-position model. Lineage: Bacteria; Bacillati; Bacillota. The record is from RNAcentral.
AGAGUUUGGAUCCUGGCUCAGGACGAACGCUGGCGGCGUGCCUAACACAUGCAAGUCGAACGGAGAAUUUCAAGAAGUUUACUUUGAGAAAUUUUUAGUGGCGGACGGGUGAGUAACGCGUGGGUAACCUACCCAUAAAGCCGGGACAACCCUUGGAAACGAGGGCUAAUACCGGAUAAUCUUAACUCAUGGCAUCAAGAGUUAAGGAAAGGUGGCCUCUGAAUAUGCUGCCGAUUAUGGAUGGACCCGCGUCUGAUUAGCUAGUUAGGUGGGGUAAAGGCCUACCAAGGCGACGAUCAGUAGCCGGCCUGAGAGGGUGAACGGCACACUGGGACUGAGACACGGCCCAGACUCCUACGGGAGGCAGCAGUGGGGAAUCUUCCGCAAUGGACGAAAGUCUGACGGAGCAACGCCGCGUGUAUGAUGAAGGUCUUCGGAUUGUAAAGUACUGUCUUUGGGGAAGAACGGUGUACUUUGGAAUAUAGAGUACAUAUGACGGUACCCAAGGAGGAAGCCCCGGCUAACUACGUGCCAGCAGCCGCGGUAAUACGUAGGGGGCAAGCGUUGUCCGGAAUUAUUGGGCGUAAAGGGCGCGUAGGCGGAUAGUUAAGUCCGGUGUGAAAGAUCAGGGCUCAACCUGAGAGUGCAUCGGAAACUGGUUAUCUUGAGGACAGGAGAGGAAAGUGGAAUUCCUAGUGUAGCGGUGAAAUGCGUAGCAUCUUANGGAGGAACACCAGUGGGGAAAGUGCGACUUUCUGGACUGUAACUUGACGCUGANGCGCNGAAAAGCGUGGGGAGCAACAG